AGCAGCCGCGGUAAUUCCAGCUCCAAUAGCGUAUAUUAAAGUUGUUGCAGUUAAAAAGCUCGUAGUUGAAUUUCGGGGUUAGUAGGUUGGUCAUGCCUCUGGUAUGUACUGGUCUCACUGAUUCCUCCUUCCUGAUGAACCGUAAUGCCAUUAAUUUGGUGUUGCGGGGAAUUUGGACUGUUACUUUGAAAAAAUUAGAGUGUUUAAAGCAAGCUAACGCUUGAAUACAUUAGCAUGGAAUAAUGAAAUAGGACGUUCGAUCUUAUUUUGUUGGUUUCUAGGAUUGACGUAAUGAUUAAUAGGGAUAGUUGGGGGCAUUAGUAUUCAAUUGUCAGAGGUGAAAUUCUUGGAUUUAUUGAAGACUAACUACUGCGAAAGCAUUUGCCAAGGAUGUUUUCAUUAAUCAAGAACGAAAGUUAGGGGAUCGAAGACGAUCAGAUACCGUCGUAGUCUUAACCAUAAACUAUGCCGACUAGGGAUCGGAUGAUGUUAAUUUUUUAAUGACUC
RNAcentral lists this ribosomal RNA (507 nucleotides) under uncultured Glomeromycotina. RNAcentral's name for it is "SSU rRNA". It matches the Rfam family "Eukaryotic small subunit ribosomal RNA", at positions 569 to 1077 of the family's 1831-position model. The record is from RNAcentral. Lineage: Eukaryota; Fungi; Glomeromycota.